UAAGGUGCUCCUACUUGCUUGUGAUUUGAUGAAGCAACAUGUUCCUGCUGUCAUCACGCAGGCUGUUCUGCAGUUAUGUGCUCGUUUGACAAAAACCCAUGCUUUGGCACUGAAAUUUCUUGAAGGUGGAGGAUUAGUAGCUCUUUUUAAUCUUCCAAGGAGUUGUUUUUUCCCUGGAGUUGCUGCUGCUAUUAUUCGGCAUCUCAUUGAAGACCCUCAGACUUUGCAAACUGCUAUGGAAUUGGAGA
This 248-nucleotide unclassified non-coding RNA is filed under the name Hevea brasiliensis (rubber tree). The record is from RNAcentral. Lineage: Eukaryota; Viridiplantae; Streptophyta; Magnoliopsida; Malpighiales; Euphorbiaceae.